RNAcentral lists this ribosomal RNA (773 nucleotides) under uncultured Neocallimastigales. Its description in RNAcentral is "partial large subunit ribosomal RNA". It matches the Rfam family "Eukaryotic large subunit ribosomal RNA", at positions 22 to 636 of the family's 3401-position model. The record is from RNAcentral. Lineage: Eukaryota; Fungi; Neocallimastigomycota; Neocallimastigomycetes; Neocallimastigales.
GUACACGCUGUGACUAGCAUAUCAAUAAGCGGAGGAAAAGAAACUAACAAGGAUUCCCCUAGUAACGGCGAGUGAAGCGGGAAGAGCUCAAAUUUGAAAUCUUAAAGGGUUUCCCUUUACGAAUUGUAGUUUAAAGAAGUGUUUUCUGUUGAGGUUUUGGUAAAAGUUCUUUGGAAUAGGACAUCAUAGAGGGUGAGAAUCCCGUAUUUGACCUUUACUUUCAACUUUGUGAUACACUUUCAAAGAGUCGGAUUGUUUGGGAAUGCAGUCCAAAAUGGGUGGUAAAUUUCAUCUAAAGCUAAAUAUUGGCGAGAGACCGAUAGCGAACAAGUACCGUGAGGGAAAGAUGAAAAGAACUUUGAAAAGAGAGUUAAACAGUACGUGAAAUUGUCAAAAGGGAAGCGUUUGACACCAGUGUUGUUUUUCUGAAAAUCGAUUAAAGAACUGUUUAUGCUAAGUUGUUUAGACUUUAUCAGCUAACUGUUUAGUUUUGAGCUUUUCUUUAAUGCACUUUUCAGUUAACAAGUCAACUAUCAAUUUCUUUUGCUGUAAAAAAGCUUGAGGAAGGUGGCUUGAGAUUCGUCUUAAGUGUUUAUAGCCUCUUGCCUAUGCAGUCGGAGAGAUUGAGGUCUGCAGCGUAGAUCCUUCGGGGCUAAAUGCAUUUGUGCUAAGUUAUAGCAUUUAUAGACAACUUGUUGACUAUGAUUUGUCUUGUAGCUUACUCGCUUAUGUUAUUUUACCUACGCUUAGGAUGUUGACAGCAGUAUAGACUG